RNAcentral lists this ribosomal RNA (550 nucleotides) under uncultured bacterium. RNAcentral describes it as "bacterial SSU rRNA". It matches the Rfam family "Bacterial small subunit ribosomal RNA", at positions 355 to 896 of the family's 1533-position model. The record is from RNAcentral.
UAGGGAAUCUUCCGCAAUGGACGCAAGUCUGACGGAGCAACGCCGCGUGAGUGAAGAAGGUUUUCGGAUCGUAAAACUCUGUCGUUAGAGAAGAACAAGUGCUAGAGUAACUGUUAGCGCCUUGACGGUAUCUAACCAGAAAGCCACGGCUAACUACGUGCCAGCAGCCGCGGUAAUACGUAGGUGGCAAGCGUUGUCCGGAUUUAUUGGGCGUAAAGCGAGCGCAGGCGGUUCCUUAAGUCUGAUGUGAAAGCCCCCGGCUCAACCGGGGAGGGUCAUUGGAAACUGGGGAACUUGAGUGCAGAAGAGGAGAGUGGAAUUCCAUGUGUAGCGGUGAAAUGCGUAGAUAUAUGGAGGAACACCAGUGGCGAAGGCGACUCUCUGGUCUGUAACUGACGCUGAGGCUCGAAAGCGUGGGUAGCAAACAGGAUUAGAUACCCUGGUAGUCCACGCCGUAAACGAUGAGUGCUAAGUGUUGGAGGGUUUCCGCCCUUCAGUGCUGCAGUUAACGCAUUAAGCACUCCGCCUGGGGAGUACGACCGCAAGGUUG